RNAcentral lists this ribosomal RNA (691 nucleotides) under uncultured bacterium. Its description in RNAcentral is "bacterial SSU rRNA". It matches the Rfam family "Bacterial small subunit ribosomal RNA", at positions 35 to 757 of the family's 1533-position model. The record is from RNAcentral.
GCUGGCGGCGCGCUUAACACAUGCAAGUCGAACGAGAAAGGGGAGCAAUCCCUGAGUAAAGUGGCGUACGGGUGAGUAACACGUGGAUGAUCUAUCUCUUUGUGGGGAAUAACCCUGGGAAACCGGGGAUAAUACCGCAUAAGCCCGAGAGGGGAAAGCAGCAAUGCGCUGAGAGAGGAGUCCGCGGCCGAUUAGCUAGUUGGCAGGGUAAAAGCCUACCAAGGCAGAGAUCGGUAGCCGGCCUGAGAGGGCACACGGCCACACUGGCACUGAAACACGGGCCAGACUCCUACGGGAGGCAGCAGUGGGGAAUCUUGCACAAUGGGGGCAACCCUGAUGCAGCGACGCCGCGUGAGCGAUGAAGCCCUUCGGGGUGUAAAGCUCUUUCGGCAGGGAAGAUUAUGACGGUACCUGCAGAAGCAGCUGCGGCUAACUACGUGCCAGCAGCCGCGGUAAUACGUAGGCAGCGAGCGUUGUUCGGAGUUACUGGGCGUAAAGGGUGUGUAGGCGGUUGUUUAAGUUUGGUGUGAAAUCUCCCGGCUCAACUGGGAGGGUGCGCCGAAUACUGAAUGACUUCGAGUGCGGGAGAGGAGAGUGGAAUUCCUGGUGUAGCGGUGAAAUGCGUAGAUAUCAGGAGGAACACCGGUGGUGUAGACGGCUCUCUGGACCGUAACUGACGCUGAGACACGAA